CAGUGACUUGAUCUUGGCUUUCCCAGGCUCCAGCUUGUAAAAAAUACAUUUUGAUCUUUGAUAAGCUACUGAGUUUAUGAUGUUUCCUUAUAGCAGCCUGGAUUGACCAAAACAGGUGUCUUUUAAAGAAGAAAAUUGGCCGGAUUUGGUGGCUCGUGCCUGUAAUCUUAGUACUUUGGGAGGAUAAGGUGGGAGGACUGCUUGAGCCCAGGAGUUCAAGACUAGUCUAGGCAAGAUGGAAAGACGUCUAUAAAUUAAUUAAAACAAAAAAGAAAAGAAGAGAAAAAUACCCACAAUGAUCUGAAAAAGACUUGAUACAUCUCCUUUUGCUAGGUAUAUAUCUGUAUUAGGCUAGAUUUUAUUCACAUGCUUCAACUCAAGCAAACAAUAUGCUACAAUAGCUUGAGUACAGAAGCAGAUAUGAGAAUCAAGCUGUCUUUUAUUAAACCAGUCAUUAAAGAGAUUUGCAAAAUGUAAAACAAUACCAUUCUACUUACUAAUGUUUCUUUUGUUUUAGAAAAUAUAGUUACAUUUAAUAAAAAUAAAUGUUAGAAUGUCAUUAGGUUUAUUAUUUUUUAAUUAUUUGAUAAAUUGUUAAAAGCUCUGUUUUAGUUUCUUACUUUUUUGUGUUUUUGAGAUGGAGUUUCGCUUUGCCACCUAGGCUGAAGUGCAAUGGCAUUAUCUGGGCUCACUGCAACCUCUCUCUCCAGGUUGAAGCAACUCUCCUGCCUCAGCCUCUUGAGUAGAUGGGAUUACAGACUGGGGGCUCACUCUGUCAUCCAGGCUGGAGUGCAGUGGCGCAAUCACGACUCCUUGUGGGCCUCAACCUUUCCAGGCCCAGGUAAUCCUCCCACCUCAGUUUUUGUAUUUUUAGUAGAGAUGAGGUUUCGCCAUGUUGCCCAGGUUGAUCCUGAACUCCUGGGCUCAAGCAAUCCACCCACUUUGGUCUCUCAAAGUGCUAGGAUUAUAGGCAUGAGCCACCGUACCUGGCAGUUUUUAUAUAUUUUCUGUUAG
RNAcentral lists this long non-coding RNA (1014 nucleotides) under Callithrix jacchus (white-tufted-ear marmoset). RNAcentral describes it as "lncRNA (ENSCJAG00000080737.1)". Lineage: Eukaryota; Metazoa; Chordata; Mammalia; Primates; Cebidae. The record is from RNAcentral.